UCAGCUUUGUUACCAUGUAAGAACAAAAAAAGAAAUAAAGCCACAUCUAAAAUAUAAGUACAAAAUAAAGCCAUUACUCUUUUUAUAAUGUAUGAUUAAAAUAUGCUUAUUUACAUGAGUUUCUUACUUAGAUUAGUAACUGUUGUUCUUGUUGUGUUCAAGCAUCAAUAUACCAAAUCAAUUGAACUAAUAGAGGUGGGUUCGAACAUGGGAAAAGAUUUUUUAUAUGAAUUGGGUAUGUUAGUGUCACAAUUAACUGUACUCUAACUAUCUAAAAUCAAUUAUCAAACUACAAAACACCAAGGCUUAUUACUUCCAUCUUAAUUCAACACUUAAUCCAUUCUACAACUAUCAAUUCAAUAAUACUUCUAUAUUCUUAUCAAUUCAUCUCUUGCUUACUCUCUUUGUAAUUUAUAUAUAUUCAAUUAUUGAUCUUUAGCUUACUUAUUAUAUUUAAUUUCUCAAUUCAUCACAAAGAAUUCAAUAUCUUCACUUAGCACAAUACAAUUUGAUAAUCUCAAUUCUCAAGGUCACAGAUUUUCUCCAAAAUGGUCAAUCCAAAGUCAUAUCCCACAAUAUUCUAAUCACAAUUUCAAUAAUACUUCUCUCAAUCACAAUUCUUCAUAAACAAAUAAUAAAAGUAAAGAAAAUAAAGAGGUAGCACCAAGCUUAUCUCUACUUACGACUCUCUCACUCUGGCCCCGAUCUCUCUUUUCUCAACCUCUUUAUCUUAUCAAAAGAUGGACCAUUGUCUAGCAGAUUCCAAAGGUUAUGACCCUUUGAAUUCUUAACCAUUUGUUCCACUAAUAACCUACUGUUACUAAUUAAACUGCCUAACAAUAAGUCUAAUUCUCAAGGUUAUCAAUAACUAAUUAGUAACUUACCACAAAAUUUAUUUACCUAUUCUACAUACCCCCACUC
Molecule: long non-coding RNA, 921 nt
Filed under: Physcomitrium patens
Lineage: Eukaryota; Viridiplantae; Streptophyta; Bryopsida; Funariales; Funariaceae
Description: long non-coding RNA (PPAT_LNC000072)
Source: RNAcentral